This 468-nucleotide ribosomal RNA is filed under the name uncultured bacterium. RNAcentral describes it as "partial 16S ribosomal RNA". It matches the Rfam family "Bacterial small subunit ribosomal RNA", at positions 28 to 507 of the family's 1533-position model. The record is from RNAcentral.
GACGAACGCUGGCGGCGUGCUUAACACAUGCAAGUCGAACGGAAAGGCCCUGCUUUUGUGGGGUGCUCGAGUGGCGAACGGGUGAGUAACACGUGAGUAACCUGCCCUUGACUUUGGGAUAACUUCAGGAAACUGGGGCUAAUACCGGAUAGGAGCUCCUGCUGCAUGGUGGGGGUUGGAAAGUUUCGGCGGUUGGGGAUGGACUCGCGGCUUAUCAGCUUGUUGGUGGGGUAGUGGCUUACCAAGGCUUUGACGGGUAGCCGGCCUGAGAGGGUGACCGGCCACAUUGGGACUAAGAUACGGCCCAGACUCCUACGGGAGGCAGCAGUGGGGAAUAUUGCACAAUGGGCGGAAGCCUGAUGCAGCGACGCCGCGUGCGGGAUGACGGCCUUCGGGUUGUAAACCGCUUUCGCCUGUGACGAAGCGUGAGUGACGGUAAUGGGUAAAGAAGCACCGGCUAACUACGUG